RNAcentral lists this unclassified non-coding RNA (257 nucleotides) under Hevea brasiliensis (rubber tree). Lineage: Eukaryota; Viridiplantae; Streptophyta; Magnoliopsida; Malpighiales; Euphorbiaceae. The record is from RNAcentral.
UACCUAUAUAGGAAUAUAAAUCCUUUAUUAAAUAGAAAUAUAAAUCCUACACUGAUUAGGAAAAUAUAAAUCUACUAAUUAGGAAUAUGAACUUUCCAUAACACCAGGCAAUGCAAAGUACUCAACUCAUACUGAAAGGAUCAGCCAGUCAUUCUUUAAUUUCCAUGUUAGUUUAUAUUGAUUGCUUAGUUGGCCAGCUAAACUUAGACAUGCAACUUACAGUGCAUGAAACAUCAGAGAAAAGGCAACAUCUGUAG